UCGUGGAGUGAUCUGUCUGGUUAAUUCCGCUAACGGACGAGACCUCUCCUUAUUAACUAGUGCGGCUCGCGGCCGAAAGGGUGAAGCGGUGGAGCUGGUUGGCACUUAGGUGCUGGCUGCUUAGCCGUGGAACCUGGCGUGCGGGUUGCUUACUUCUUAGGGGUACAAUCUGCGUUUUAGCAGAGGGGAGCUAGAGGCAAUAACA
This 205-nucleotide ribosomal RNA is filed under the name uncultured eukaryote. RNAcentral describes it as "partial 18S ribosomal RNA". It matches the Rfam family "Eukaryotic small subunit ribosomal RNA", at positions 1299 to 1458 of the family's 1831-position model. The record is from RNAcentral.